AGCAUUUGUAGAAGAGGCCAUUUUGACACCUAUCAUCAUUACUGAUAACAUUUAGGCUUCUCUCUCCCUGGAGGAAAGAAUAGAGAAGUUAGCUACAUAUGUAAAUUAUCAACAAAACAUAAGCAAUAACAAUUUCUACAUCAGUGAUACAGACCUGUUGUUGUAAGGCUAUUCUCACUGAUGCAACAUGCUCUGACCACCCCAGGUUUAAUCUCACAUCACAUAAACAGUAGCUUAAGUUAUAAACAAUGAGGCAGAAUUUCAGGUGAUGGUACAAGUUUGUGCUGAUGACUCUAUA
This is a long non-coding RNA of Zootermopsis nevadensis, 298 nucleotides long. RefSeq lists it as uncharacterized. The record is from RefSeq and is a predicted model, not a curated record. NCBI's taxonomy places the organism in Eukaryota, Metazoa, Arthropoda, Insecta, Blattodea, Termopsidae.